UGGGGAAUAUUGCGCAAUGGGGGCAACCCUGACGCAGCCAUGCCGCGUGAAUGAAGAAGGCCUUCGGGUUGUAAAGUUCUUUCGGUGACGAGGAAGGCGUGAUGUUUAAUAGGCAUCACGAUUGACGUUAAUCACAGAAGAAGCACCGGCUAACUCCGUGCCAGCAGCCGCGGUAAUACGGAGGGUGCGAGCGUUAAUCGGAAUAACUGGGCGUAAAGGGCACGCAGGCGGUGACUUAAGUGAGAUGUGAAAGCCCCGAGCUUAACUUGGGAAUUGCAUUUCAUACUGGGUCGCUAGAGUACUUUAGGGAGGGGUAGAAUUCCACGUGUAGCGGUGAAAUGCGUAGAGAUGUGGAGGAAUACCGAAGGCGAAGGCAGCCCCUUGGGAAUGUACUGACGCUCAUGUGCGAAAGCGUGGGGAGCAAACAGGAUUAGAUACCCUGGUAGUCCACGCUGUAAACGAUGUCGAUUUGGGGAUUGGGCUUUGAGCUUGGUGCCCGUAGCUAACGUGAUAAAUCGACCGCCUGGGGAGUACGGCCGCAAGGUUA
This 547-nucleotide ribosomal RNA is filed under the name uncultured bacterium. RNAcentral describes it as "bacterial SSU rRNA". It matches the Rfam family "Bacterial small subunit ribosomal RNA", at positions 355 to 896 of the family's 1533-position model. The record is from RNAcentral.